GGUUAAGCGACUAAGCGUACACGGUGGAUGCCCUGGCAGUCAGAGGCGAUGAAGGACGUGCUAAUCUGCGAUAAGCGUCGGUAAGGUGAUAUGAACCGUUAUAACCGGCGAUUUCCGAAUGGGGAAACCCAGUGUGAUUCGACACACUAUCAUUAACUGAAUCCAUAGGUUAAUGAGGCGAACCGGGGGAACUGAAACAUCUAAGUACCCCGAGGAAAAGAAAUCAACCGAGAUUCCCCCAGUAGCGGCGAGCGAACGGGGAGCAGCCCAGAGCCUGAAUCAGUGUGUGUGUUAGUGGAAGCGUCUGGAAAGGCGCGCGAUACAGGGUGACAGCCCCGUACACAAAAAUGCACAUGCUGUGAGCUCGAUGAGUAGGGCGGGACACGUGGUAUCCUGUCUGAAUAUGGGGGGACCAUCCUCCAAGGCUAAAUACUCCUGACUGACCGAUAGUGAACCAGUACCGUGAGGGAAAGGCGAAAAGAACCCCGGCGAGGGGAGUGAAAAAGAACCUGAAACCGUGUACGUACAAGCAGUGGGAGCACGCUUAGGCGUGUGACUGCGUACCUUUUGUAUAAUGGGUCAGCGACUUAUAUUCUGUAGCAAGGUUAACCGAAUAGGGGAGCCGAAGGGAAACCGAGUCUUAACUGGGCGUUAAGUUGCAGGGUAUAGACCCGAAACCCGGUGAUCUAGCCAUGGGCAGGUUGAAGGUUGGGUAACACUAACUGGAGGACCGAACCGACUAAUGUUGAAAAAUUAGCGGAUGACUUGUGGCUGGGGGUGAAAGGCCAAUCAAACCGGGAGAUAGCUGGUUCUCCCCGAAAGCUAUUUAGGUAGCGCCUCGUGAAUUCAUCUCCGGGGGUAGAGCACUGUUUCGGCAAGGGGGUCAUCCCGACUUACCAACCCGAUGCAAACUGCGAAUACCGGAGAAUGUUAUCACGGGAGACACACGGCGGGUGCUAACGUCCGUCGUGAAGAGGGAAACAACCCAGACCGCCAGCUAAGGUCCCAAAGUCAUGGUUAAGUGGGAAACGAUGUGGGAAGGCCCAGACAGCCAGGAUGUUGGCUUAGAAGCAGCCAUCAUUUAAAGAAAGCGUAAUAGCUCACUGGUCGAGUCGGCCUGCGCGGAAGAUGUAACGGGGCUAAACCAUGCACCGAAGCUGCGGCAGCGACACUAUGUGUUGUUGGGUAGGGGAGCGUUCUGUAAGCCUGUGAAGGUGUACUGUGAGGUAUGCUGGAGGUAUCAGAAGUGCGAAUGCUGACAUAAGUAACGAUAAAGCGGGUGAAAAGCCCGCUCGCCGGAAGACCAAGGGUUCCUGUCCAACGUUAAUCGGGGCAGGGUGAGUCGACCCCUAAGGCGAGGCCGAAAGGCGUAGUCGAUGGGAAACAGGUUAAUAUUCCUGUACUUGGUGUUACUGCGAAGGGGGGACGGAGAAGGCUAUGUUGGCCGGGCGACGGUUGUCCCGGUUUAAGCGUGUAGGCUGGUUUUCCAGGCAAAUCCGGAAAAUCAAGGCUGAGGCGUGAUGACGAGGCACUACGGUGCUGAAGCAACAAAUGCCCUGCUUCCAGGAAAAGCCUCUAAGCAUCAGGUAACAUCAAAUCGUACCCCAAACCGACACAGGUGGUCAGGUAGAGAAUACCAAGGCGCUUGAGAGAACUCGGGUGAAGGAACUAGGCAAAAUGGUGCCGUAACUUCGGGAGAAGGCACGCUGAUAUGUAGGUGAAGCGACUUGCUCGUGGAGCUGAAAUCAGUCGAAGAUACCAGCUGGCUGCAACUGUUUAUUAAAAACACAGCACUGUGCAAACACGAAAGUGGACGUAUACGGUGUGACGCCUGCCCGGUGCCGGAAGGUUAAUUGAUGGGGUCAGCGCAAGCGAAGCUCUUGAUCGAAGCCCCGGUAAACGGCGGCCGUAACUAUAACGGUCCUAAGGUAGCGAAAUUCCUUGUCGGGUAAGUUCCGACCUGCACGAAUGGCGUAAUGAUGGCCAGGCUGUCUCCACCCGAGACUCAGUGAAAUUGAACUCGCUGUGAAGAUGCAGUGUACCCGCGGCAAGACGGAAAGACCCCGUGAACCUUUACUAUAGCUUGACACUGAACAUUGAGCCUUGAUGUGUAGGAUAGGUGGGAGGCUUUGAAGUGUGGACGCCAGUCUGCAUGGAGCCGACCUUGAAAUACCACCCUUUAAUGUUUGAUGUUCUAACGUUGACCCGUGAUCCGGGUUGCGGACAGUGUCUGGUGGGUAGUUUGACUGGGGCGGUCUCCUCCUAAAGAGUAACGGAGGAGCACGAAGGUUGGCUAAUCCUGGUCGGACAUCAGGAGGUUAGUGCAAUGGCAUAAGCCAGCUUGACUGCGAGCGUGACGGCGCGAGCAGGUGCGAAAGCAGGUCAUAGUGAUCCGGUGGUUCUGAAUGGAAGGGCCAUCGCUCAACGGAUAAAAGGUACUCCGGGGAUAACAGGCUGAUACCGCCCAAGAGUUCAUAUCGACGGCGGUGUUUGGCACCUCGAUGUCGGCUCAUCACAUCCUGGGGCUGAAGUAGGUCCCAAGGGUAUGGCUGUUCGCCAUUUAAAGUGGUACGCGAGCUGGGUUUAGAACGUCGUGAGACAGUUCGGUCCCUAUCUGCCGUGGGCGCUGGAGAACUGAGGGGGGCUGCUCCUAGUACGAGAGGACCGGAGUGGACGCAUCACUGGUGUUCGGGUUGUCAUGCCAAUGGCACUGCCCGGUAGCUAAAUGCGGAAGAGAUAAGUGCUGAAAGCAUCUAAGCACGAAACUUGCCCCGAGAUGAGUUCUCCCUGACUCCUUGAGAGUCCUGAAGGAACGUUGAAGACGACGACGUUGAUAGGCCGGGUGUGUAAGCGCAGCGAUGCGUUGAGCUAACCGGUACUAAUGAACCGUGAGGCUUAACCUU
This 2903-nucleotide ribosomal RNA is filed under the name Escherichia coli 55989. Its description in RNAcentral is "Bacterial large subunit ribosomal RNA". It matches the Rfam family "Bacterial large subunit ribosomal RNA". The record is from Rfam by way of RNAcentral. Lineage: Bacteria; Pseudomonadati; Pseudomonadota; Gammaproteobacteria; Enterobacterales; Enterobacteriaceae.